This 253-nucleotide ribosomal RNA is filed under the name uncultured bacterium. RNAcentral describes it as "partial 16S ribosomal RNA". It matches the Rfam family "Bacterial small subunit ribosomal RNA", at positions 524 to 776 of the family's 1533-position model. The record is from RNAcentral.
UACAGAGGUCUCAAGCGUUGUUCGGAUUCGUUGGGCGUAAAGGGUGCGUAGGUGGCGGGGUAAGUCAGGUGUGAAAUCUCGAGGCUCAACCUCGAAACUGCACUUGAUACUGCCUUGCUCGAGUACUGGAGAGGAGAUUGGAAUUUACGGUGUAGCAGUGAAAUGCGUAGAUAUCGUAAGGAAGACCAGUGGCGAAGGCGAAUCUCUGGACAGUUACUGACACUGAGGCACGAAGGCCAGGGGAGCAAACGGG